Molecule: long non-coding RNA, 1215 nt
Filed under: Sorghum bicolor (sorghum)
Lineage: Eukaryota; Viridiplantae; Streptophyta; Magnoliopsida; Poales; Poaceae
Description: long non-coding RNA (SBIC_LNC017799)
Source: RNAcentral
CAACAUAUUCAGAAAAGUGGUCUGUUCCUUUGCAUUGACAGGUCCUGUUCUAUGGUACUUCUAAAUGUACCCAGACCAACCGCCGAUGGCGCAGGUUUCCACCUUAGCGCUAGGUUUGGUGUCAAAUAGAUGACUGUUAUCGGCAGUGGAUAUAUCUAAGCCGGUAAGCAUGAGUACAUCGGCAAGUGUGGGAGAAGCAGGGCCAUGGCCAAACACAAAAGCAUUGAGCUUGUCUGACCAAAAGUGUGAGGCAGCAAUUAGCAGUGACUCAUUCCUCUCCAUAUCGGCAAGGGACAACCUAAUGCACUGGUCUAAUUUUCACUCGCCCCAUUGAACCUCAUUUGAGUGGCUGACUCUCAAGAACCAAUCCUUCCAUCCCUUGGUAGGACUGGGCCUGGAACGGAAGGCAUCUUUCCAUAGAUCUAGAGAGAAGUUUUCGGCUCUAAAAGGGACUCUGUUUGUCUCUGCGUUUAUCAGAUCGGUGGGAUUUGGGUUUCCUAGCGGGCCAAGACACUGGAGGUGAGGUUGAUCGGUAGGAAUAACGAUCUUAUCGGCCAAAUCCUAGAAGUUUUUGAGGGUAAAAAGAAAAAAGAAAAAGAAAAAGGAGUGUUCAGUAAGAUGAAUUGCGGAUGAACAGGAGUACAAUAAAAGUGCAGGAGAAAGGGUAGUGAACUGACCUCAGGCACGAUGAAGUUGAUGGCUAUUUUCUCGCAAGAAGGAGGAUCGAAGACUUGGGGGAUUAGUGAAGAAGGCCUUCGUGGAAGUUCUUGGAGUCCUCGGGUGGUGCCGCCGCCGUGGAAGUGGAUUUUGGGCUGUAGAAUGACAAGAUGGAGAAGGAGUACCAGAGAAGGAAGUGUUUAUAGGACAAAACGGGCAGGGGCAAAUCUGACUUAUCUCUUUGCCGCAUCCGUGAAAUCUGAGAGUAUUCAGGUGGAUAUGGUAACUGUUCGCACGGUAAUCAAGGGAUUGCGCAGGUGAUUUGACAGCAAGCGGUGAUGAUUUUGGAGAUAUUUCACUGUACGAUAUCUCCUGGUCGGUCCAUCGGCAGUUCUCUCUAACGGUAAUAUUGCCGAUGGGCGUAUAAAGUGGAGAGAUUCGGUUUGGGAGGUUGAAGAAUUCGAGGAAUAUGCAAGAGAAUCGGGCCAAGGUUGUUCGGAUUUAACGGCCGAUUGCCAAAUUGGGAGAAUUAAUUGCAGAAAGGCAUCAUUACUGCAG